RNAcentral lists this long non-coding RNA (39674 nucleotides) under Ananas comosus (pineapple). RNAcentral describes it as "long non-coding RNA (ACOM_LNC009985)". Lineage: Eukaryota; Viridiplantae; Streptophyta; Magnoliopsida; Poales; Bromeliaceae. The record is from RNAcentral.
GAGGCGAAUGGGAAUUUGUUAACGUAUCAAAUGACAAUACACUAUCUGGCGUGAUGAGUAUAUUUCCGUUCCAUGGAUGUAUAAAAUUAUACGUGGAGAAAGAUAGGUUGACGGCACACGACCGUCCAAAUACCGUUUAUCAAACGGAAAUGUGUCGUACCCGCAAUGAUCAAAGAAAUUACGUCAAUCGCGAACGAGGUCGUACAUCAAGGUAUAAAGUAAUGAUCUUUAUAAUCUUUUUCGUGAUUUCUCAAUUAGUUUAGGUGCGCGAAAUUAAUAACUUUGUCUUGUAAGUGUUUCAGAGAGUUUGGAGUUCCAUCUCAGCCAGUUAGUGCAGCAUUGCCAUCUGCUGUGAUGGAUUCGUCUCCGUUGGUUGAUCAAAAUGAGUGGUAGGUGAUUGUAUGAUUUAGUUACGUAAUAAAUCAAUGUGAAUAGUUAAUCUUAUAUAUCUCUCUACAGGUCUACUGCCCCUCCUUAUCAAAGUCCACGACCAUCAUCUUAUGUUCACGGAUGGACGGAUUGGGAAGUCAGAACCACUAUCCCUCCUUAUCAAAAUGAAGGUCCAUCAUGUGGUGUUCAUCAAUGGCCGGCUUGGGAAGUAAGAAAUACUAGCCCUCCCUAUGUAGAUGAAGGUCCAGGAUCAUCUAGUGUUCAUGAAUGGCCGGCUUGGGAAGUAAGAAAUACUAACCCUCCUUAUGUAGAUGAAGGUCCAGGACCAUCUAGUGUUCAUCAAUGGUCGGCUUGGCCAGUAAGAAAUACUAUCCCUCCUUAUCAAAAUGAAGAUCCAUCAUGUACUCAUCGUGAAUGGACCAAUCGGGGAGUGACUACAACUGAUCUAUUGGACGUAAGUAGAAGUGAUGAGGAGAAUGUUAGUGAAACUGAUGAAGAGGAUCAAGGGCGAAUUGAUGCUCAUUCUAGUGAUGACGAGGAGUCCUUUGUUGCGUGUUCUUCGGAUCCUGAUCAUGACGGUGGUUUGAAUGCCCUCGCAUGCGCCAUUCGAGAUGAAGGUGUUGAAUGGAUUGAAAACUCAAAUGCCAACAACGAAGAUGUACCGGACCCGGUGGAAUUCGUGGAAUUUGAAGAUCAACGACAACGGUUUGUCCUGGGUAAUGAAUUAAUUAAUCAAAGCGUUGUUGAUGCAUAUAGUGAAUAAAAUAUUGAUCAGGGUCCUCCAAGUGAUGAAGCAUGGGCUAAUCGGACUUUUUCUGAUAAAUCAUCGCUAGUAAGGGCCUUGGACGCUUGGCACAUUGCACAUAAUGUGCAGCUUAAAGUUGUUAAGUCAAAUACAACUAGAUAUACUGUGCAAUGUGUGGUCGAUUCUUGCCCUUGGAGAUUACAUGCCUCUCAACCAAAAGGUAGUUCAUUUUUUCAAGUAAAGACUUAUAAAGGUCCGCACACUUGUUUGGUUCCAAUUCUAAAUACAAGACAUCGAAACUGCACAUCAUCUUUCAUAUGUCAAUUUAUACUACCUACACUGAAGGCAAGGCUUACAAUGAGUCCGAUGGAAAUUCAAGCUCGAGUUCAGAGCGAGUUACACGUUAGCAUAUCAUAUAGCAAGGCUUGGCGGGCACAGAAUAAAGCACUACAAAUUAUAUACGGUAGUUGGGAGCAAUCAUACUGCGACCUUCCUCGAUACUUCUCUAUAUUGGAAACAACAAAUCCAGGAACUAUUACAAAGAUUGAUUAUAUUAGUGUGGCGAGCAAUACGAGAAUGUUUUCACGAGCCUUUUGGGCUUUUGGACCGUCGAUUCAUGGUUGGGAGUAUUGCCGGCCAUUACUUAGUAUCGAUGCUACUCAUCUGUAUGGGAAAUACGGAGGCCACGCAUUAAUUGCCACAGGUGUCGAUGCGAAUGGUGGUUUAUUUCCGCUAGCUUUCGCAAUUUGUGAGGGGGAGAAUGGCUCAAGUUGGGAGUGGUUUUUAAGUUGCCUAAGAAGGUAUAUAACAAGAUCUCGAGUUAUUACACUAAUUUCAUAUCGUUUUAAAGGCCUAGUGAACCUCGUUGCACUUGUAUUCCCACCAUCUGAAGGUCAUGCUCAUCGAUGGUGUUUGCGACAUAUGAAGGCCAAUAUGAAUAUUCAUUUCAAAGAAAAACACUUACUUAAAAUUUUUUAUCGAAUUGGGAGUGCUUCCGAAGAAUGGCAAUAUUACGCAUUAAAGGAAGAAUUGAAGGCUAUGGAUGAAGAAGCUUGGCGUUGGGUUGACAAUCUUCAUAACGAUAGGACAUACUGGGCUAAAGCUUUUGAUGGUGGUCGACGAUUUGGUAUUAUGACAACUAAUCGAUCGGAAAGUUUAAAUGGGGUGUUGAGGGGAGUUCGCGCCUUACUAAUUACAGCUUUUGUGAUGACAACAUUUCAUCGAGUGGUUGAAUUUUUUCUAAAACAUCGGACAGAAGGCGCUGCAAUGUCCACGCAGUUUGUCACGACUGUUGAAAAAACCAUCAAUAGCCGGAUGAGAAGUGCGAGAGGAUAUACCGUUCAACGAUUUGCAUUUCAUAUGUUCAACAUACUUAUUGGCGGGGAUGAUCAAUACCAAGUGACUAUCAAUGGAAGCAGUUCUACAUGUUCAUGUUUGUGUUUGCAACUCACAGGAAUCCCUUGUUCACAUAUUUUGUCAUGUUGUAGUUCAUCACACAUGAACAUAGAUUAUUAUGGCUUAUGUUCUCCUUGGUAUACUGUCGAAUCAUAUUGUAAGGCUUAUGACCGCAAUUCUACCCCGUACCCGAUCGUCGUUAUUGGAUCGCGUCAUAUGAGUCCCCUAUAGUGCCACCACGCGGGAGAAGAAAAAAGGGACGACCCAGAUCUACGCGUAUCCGUAAUGUUAUGGAUGAAGCCAGUGGGAAUAGGAGGGGCAAGUGUAGUAUGUGUAAACAGCCUGGACAUUAUAAAAGCACUUGUCCUGAAAAUCAGCAAAGAAGAACUGAGAGGCGUCGUCGAUAGGUUUUUCUAUAUGAAUAUGACACUUAACUUCUUUAAUCUUUUAUACUUACGCACUAAUUUUACAUCAUGUUGUAUCUAACUAAGUUUUUUUUUUUUUACAAUUUCAGAUGGAUGAUCAUGACGAGCCGGGACCUAUUGAUACAUCCGUGCUGACUGAGCAGCCAUGACAUAGAUCUGCUUUGAUCAGAGAGGAGGUAAAUUUUUUAAAAAUAUUUUAAAUUUACGUAGAUCUUCUUUAACUUAUGUACUAAUUUACGUGCUGGCAUUCACAAUCAUGCAGGGAUAUUCUCCUGUUCAAUUUACGGAGCAUGGCCGUAAAUUGAACAGAUGGCAGUGCGAGCAUCCUGCGGUGUUGGACUUAUUACGCCGAGCAGGAUUUUAUUACGUUUCACGAUUGCGCCGCCUACAGCUCGAUCAGUCAUUAUUGGGAGCAUUAGUCGAGAGAUGGCGGCGGGAGACACAGAGUUUUCAUUUGCGACAUGGAGAGAUGAGUAUUACUUUGAUGGACGUCGCAGUUAUUACGGGACUCCCCGUCGAUAGUGCGGCAGUGACUGGAGGGGGAUCCUAUCAGUGGGCAGAGCUCUGUGGAUUACUUCUCAGGGUGGUUCCGGAGGAUAUUAGGGGUGGUGAGAUCAAGAUAGAUUGGUUAUAUCAGCAGUUCCAUGAUAUCCCUUUAGACGCACCUGAGGCUAUUGUUAGAGCUACGGCUAGAGUAUAUAUACUAUUUCAGAUAGGAUGUAGCUUGUUUCCAAAUCCAAGCGGGAACAGGGUGCAUUUGAAAUGGCUGCCACAUCUAGAGGAUUUUGACCUUUGUGUUGCAUUAGCAUGGGGUGCAGCCGCGCUAGCACAUCUUUAUCGCGCCCUAGGAAAUGCUUGCAUCAGGGGAAAGGUCGAGUGUUGUUGUUUUGGGACAUUAGUUCAGGUACAAUACUUCUAACAAGAAGACCCUUAUAAUACUUCUAGUUAAGUCAUGGUUUUUGUAAAAUUUCUAACAGGAAUGUUUUUUUUUUUGUAUAGAUAUGGGCAUGGGACCACCUACAUAUUGGCCGCCCUGAGGUAGUAGGCCCGCAGCCUGAGCUUGUCGACAUGCCAUUAGGGUGUCGGUAAGUAUUUUUUCAUUUUAAGUUUUCUAUAUACUAAUUUUUCAUAACUAAUAUGAUAUAAAUGAAACAGGUGGAAUACUAGAUUAGCAUUUCGGGACAAUGUCAGGACUACUGACAUUGAGUUUUAUCGUGAUCAGCUGGAUCAGCAGUUAGAGUCUCAGGUAUAUACAAGUUACUCAAUCUGUCGAAUUUUGUAUUCAAUAAUGUGAUUUAUCAGUAUCUUCCCAUUAGGAACACUUAGUUGCAUGUCAAGUUUUACUCUAGCUGCAUGCCUCAGGCCAAUGUAUAGAACAUACCAAAACCCAAUAAAAAACAUCUCCUUUGCAACAUGAAGAUAUAAAUGGUGUGUAUCCAACAAAUAAAAAGCUAUAACACUAAUAAGUGUGUUCAAGUACACAAACAAACCAUCCCAAUGUAAUGUAAGGAUGAAUGAAUAACGCGUGUAUAGAAGCUAGGCUACUAUACUAUCUAUACUAUAUAUAGAGCUAGGCUACUAUAUAGAAGAAUCUAAAUUUCUUCAAAUUCUGAUAGAAAAUACUUUAAACUAUAUAGAUUAAGAUUAACAUUCUUGAUCUUGAAUUUAAAAGUCCUAUGCUCAAAUUUUAAAGAAUAUUCAAUUUUCACCGUCUAUUUUCACAAAAGAUCAUUAUAUGUAUUUUGAUAGCUAAUCAUAUGUAUUUUUCACAAUAGAUUAUAUGGAGGCCUUAUGACGACGCAGUGUUAGAGACGCUCCCACCUUUUUGUCUGGCGGGGUCCCAGGUUUGGCGAUCGAGGACUACCUUAGUCUGCUUCCACAUUAUUGAGCUCCAUCAUCCCGAUCGUGUGCUUCGCCAGUUUGGACUACUACAACAUAUACCUGAACCUGUGCUUGCCAUACCUCGCAUCAAUUCACGAGGCAGAGCAGAUGAGGAUUGGGCGGCAUACCACGCCUCAUACAUUGAGCGUUGGAAUGAUAGAUUGGUAGAUAUAGCAGAGGUGGCCCCUGAGACAGAUCCAGAUCCGAUACGAGCUACCACUGUUUACAUGCAGUGGUAUUGGACGAUCACCAGGAGGUGGAUAUCUAGACCUGUACAACGGCCACCACUUGCCUAUCAGCCAUGUGGACACGUCGAGAGAGUAUUGGUAUGAUUGUAAUUGCAAAUAUCUUUUUAUAUUAAUUUUUAUAUAUACAAGAAAGUUUCGUAUAAUCUUUUUUGAUUGUGCUUUUAUUUCAGGUUGAUAUCGUGCAGAGAUCACAUUAUACGAUCAGACGUGUCCUACCCGAUAUUUCAGGAGGUGGAGUCUUAGCUACCCUAUCACAGGUCGCCGAUCAGAUGGAGGCAGUUCUGGAGACUUUACCUACGCUUCCACACUAUGUACCUCCAGGAUCAGCAGACUAUGGUGGAGCAUCGACGUCCGGGCAUGCACCCGUAUAUAGUCCACCGAUGCCAUCAUCACCGAUAGGGGAGCCACCUUAUGUUGAUGUUACGGACCCGGCACCAGCACCAGUACCGCAGGAUCCAGCUCGAGCAGGUGAUAUUGUUUAUUUUAGGCGUCGACGGCGAUCGAGGUCUAUCCGUACAGAUCAGCCCUCCUCUUCAGCUCCUCCACGGCCAGAUCAGCCCUCCUCUUCAGCUCCUCCACGGCCAGACAUACUACCGGCACAUGCUACUGCUGUGAUUGAGCCGGUUAUUGAGGGUGCUGCUAUAGAGCAUCUAGACCAGUUGGAGAUCUUGGAGCCUUUUGAUGAGCAUGAUGUUGGUCGUGGUCGCGGACGUGGUAGGCGACGUGGUCGAGGAGGUCGAGGGAGGAGAACAUGAUAUUAUAUUUAUAUAUUAUUGUAUAACUUGCAUUUAUUUUGUAUAUUCUGUUUUGAUUAUUUGGUAUUGAUUAUAUUAUUGAGAUUCUAUUGGUUGUGAUGUUGUAAUGUGUAUUAAUUUUGUGAUGUUGUGAUGUGUAUUACUUUUGUGAUGUUGUGAUGUGUUGUGAUAUGUAUUGAUAGGUAUCUGUAUUGUAUUCUUGUAUUGAAUCUUGUAAUUGAUUUUUCUGCGGCAAAUUAAUUGCUGUGUGUGUGGUAGCAUUGGACACGGUGAACCAUUCACCGUGUCCAAUAUUAAACAUGGACACGGUGAAUGGUUAACCGUGUCCUAUACAAGUAUCUUCACAACCCCGAAAAUGGCUAAGUCCGUGUCCAAUACAACUAGCCAGGCCGUAAUUGGCUAUGGAAGUAAAGGACACGGUAAAUGGUUCACCGUGUCUAAACAUGGUGAUUGGUUCACCGUGUUUAGACACGGUGAACGAAUCACCGUGUCUAAUGCAAUAUAACUCCCCGCCGGUGGUGGGAGUAAUACACUAAACACGGUGAUUAGUUCACCGUGUUUAGACACGGUGAACCAAUCACCGUGUUCAUCUUGACCACCUGGCCCAGCCCCUGCCCGCGUGGCGCUGACGUGGCGCUGGCGUGGCAGAGGCAGGGCCAUUUUUGCAAAUAAAUUUUGGACAGGGCUAUUUUUGCAAAUAAAAUUUGUCAGGGGGCUAUUUGCAAAAAAAGCCCCUAAUUCUUAGUACUAAUUCAACUAAGAGGAGACAUCUCAAAUCAAAGUAUGCUUUAGUUGACGCAUGUCAACUAUGAUUCUUUUUUUUUUCUUACCAAAAGAAAAAUAUGCACUAAAUAACAACAUACCUCCAUACAACGUUUUCAUCUAAACUGUUGCUUCUUCGCUAUGCAAUAGACUUGCCAAGUCCGGACACCCAACCUCAACUCAGGAGAAAAUUAAUCUGGAUAUUCAUUUAAUUCAAAUGGAAUCCGCAUAAUCAAUUUAUGUUUUAGUUGAAAGUCACUAAAAUAGUUCUUUUAACACUAAACAUUAGAUUUUUCAAUGAAAAAAUAAAAUUUUAAAUUAUCAGUUUUAGUCCACUAUCCUAUUUAUUAUUGACAAAUUCACAUCAAGUCACAAUUAAACACCAAAUAAAAGUCAAAAUUUGUAAAACGCAAGGCAUUUACCAAGAUCAUGUGCUUCCCCUUGAUAUCGAUCUUGAGGUUGCCGGAGAUUGUGGGCUCGCCAUUGGACUCAGUUCUCAUGCUAUCGGACUGGACGUGGAAGAAUCCAAAUUAACUGUGUUGACAACACAACCAAUGCAGUAUUGGAAAAAUGUUGGAGUGCUCGGAUUUGGGUAUAAGUCAGGUAUCUCUUAUUCACAUCGCAUAAUAGAUUACGAUUUUCGUUAGGAAAUAAUACUCCUACAUUCACUAAAAAGCAUUACGCUAGCAAACCUGUGUAGAUACCCAGAUUGGAAGAACUUAUUCACGAAAGAUUUAACUAUUUUUUGACAAAUUGGUUUGGAAUCGUGUAAAAUUUUCACUUGCAACAGAAUACAGAAGCUCCAAUGAGACCAACUAUAAAGGGAAAAACUCAAUUGAAAACUUUUCUAGACAAAGAAUGAAAAGAGAGACACAAUUCUUAAAAAGAGAUAUAACUUAGUUCACCAAAGCAAACAGGAGCAGAUGUGAUUUUAAAAGUAUUCUCCAAGUCUUUGAUGAUAGAUAUUGCCAUCCUACUCAAGAAAAAAAAAUAAGGUGCAAAAAAUCAAGAUGAUGCUUACAAUUUGUAUCCUCUUCUAUGGCUUGCAGUUUGAGCCUUUUAUUGAUUUCUCAUGUUGCUGUUUUUUUAAUAUGUUAGCAUUCUCCACUCAACAACCAACAAUCGUUGCGAGUAUUAUAAUGAAUUUUAAAUUCUUUUCUAUUUCAUGAAACCUCGAUAGAAACAUUCAAUAUUGAUCGACAAAUAUGCAACCAAUGAAACCUAAAGGGACGUCCUUAAUGUUUCAAAUAAUCUAGUCAAAAAUAAUUAUCUAGAGACCCAUUAAUUAGAAUGUUUUUUAUUACCACAUUUUAGCAAUUUGAAGCACUAAUGGCACCUGUGGAGGCAUUGAAAUCAUAGUUGGGUUGUCUCCUUUAUCUGCUUAUGAUUCUUUUCCCUCUCUCCAUAACUCGUUGCCUUCCCUUCCCACAGAGGAACCCCGAGGGAUAGAGACCCAUCCUGUAAUAGGCUGAAAUUUGAUUAGAAGCUAAUUGUGAUCAAAGUGGUCAAAAUAAUGCUAAAAUGGAAAUUAAGUAUUUCUAAACUUAAUUAGUGGCUUGAGGACAUCAAGUGACAGGUUUUGGAAAUGUGAGAAUAGAUAAGAAUGGAAUUGGAGUGGCUAAAGACAUCCAAUUGCCAUUGCUACUCUUAUGCUGAAAUUUUAGUUAACUUGGUCAAAAAUGAUCAAGUUAAUGCAAAUUUGAGAAUUAAAUGUUAUCAAAUUAAUUUGGUAGCUUGGGAAGUUCAUUUGGCAUGUUUUGGAAGUGCUCGAAGUGAAUUGGAAGUGGCAGAAACCUCCAAUCACUGCUGCUAUCAAGUAAUGCUGAAAUUCCGAGUUAAUGUUGAUCAAAAUGAUCAACAUGAUGCCAAAUUGGAAAUUAAUUGCUUCCAAAUUAAUUUGACAACUUGUAGAGGUAUAUUAGUGUAAUUUGGAAGUGCUUGAGUGGACUUGAAGUGAGUUGGAUGGGCAUAAUAAGCUUCAAAGUGCUGCUGCAGCUAGUUGUUUAGUGCAGGGACUGAAUCGUAAGCUUCAGGGACUGAAAUGUAAAUAUGAAGGUUGCAAUGUACUUUUGCAAUUCUAAGGGGCUAAGCUGCAUUUUUUCAGUCUUAUCCCUUUACCCCAGUUAAUCUGAAGGUGUACACGUAUUGGGACACCCCUCCACCAGCCUAAUCUUAUUCCUUUUCUCCUCUCUUUCUCUCUCAGCCAAGAAACAACCUAGUGGGCUGUUGGAGCUGAAUUCUUGAUGUUGGCAGCUUGGGGAUUUGUAGGCUGAGGUUGUGAGACCUGAUUCAAGCAGGGAGUUAAUUGGAGAAGCUUCAAAAAUUAAAGUAAGUUAAAUCCUCACCUGAUUUAUAUUGGAGCUAGCUACUUAGAGAAGAGUUAAAGGAAGAACUCUUGCUGUCAGGACUUGAGAGCUGAUUAGGACUGGCAGACUUGGUGUCUUCGGCUUGGUGGAGUGGCCGAGCUGAGAGAGGAUGCUAUUGGAGUUGAAGUAACCUGGCGUAACACUUAAUUAAGGUAAGCAACUUGCCCCUCAGCUGAGAAUUAAUUACAACUACAAAGGGAUUAAGUUUAUAGUAUUAGAAUGCUGAAAUUUCAGAUUUGUGAGCUGAAAUCAAGUUGAUAGAUGUUCUUGGUACUGCCGAAAUGCAGGGAUGGCCUAUUUGAUGCAGUGAGCAAGUUAAUUUAGCAUCAAACUAUAGUAAGUUCCUUCUAUAUUGAAUUACAGUUAAAUUAGUUGCUUUAGAAUGGAUCGAAUUGAGUCUUAUGGUCGAAAAUUUCAGAUUUGGGGCUACCAAGUGGAGUUGAUACCUUGAGUGGGUUCUUGAUGCUUCAAGCUGAAAUUAAUUAGAAGAAGUAUCUAAUUAAGGUAAGUUUGAACUAGUAUUGGACUAUAAUUAAGUUACUUACCUUAACGAAGAGUUAAUAAAGGCUUUAUUGACUGCCAGGAUUAGAGCUUGGUAAACUAGUUGUAGAACGCAGCGGAAGUUUUCGGUUCGUACCUUUUUGCGGAAGCGAUUCAGAUUACAACUCGAUGAGCCCGGAUCGUCGAGGUUGAUUCACAUGUCCUUUGAUCGUCCUUGAUUAAAUCUUCUCACGUUCCAAACUCGCGAUGGAUCGAACUACAAACGAGCGCGAUCGAAAAUCCACCGUGCAAGUCCCUCUAGAAUAAUAGGUCAAUGGAGGAUGUGGUUUCUCGCUAUUAUUUUUUUUUUAUUCUCUCUCUGUUUACGUUCUUUCCGUGUAUUUUUUGUUAUGUGGGAUCGCCCGCAUAUUUAUAAGGAAUUCCAAAAUCCUAAUGGCGUUAGAGAUAAGGCCAAAUCGGUUAUUAAUUGUUAUCCUAAUAUGACUAGGAUUUAUCUCUAACUAACUUUCCAAUUUGAAAGCGAGAUUAAUUCCAAUCCAAUUAGAUAACAUAAUAUCCGUCGGAUCGAACCCGCUUAUGGGCGUACCCGAUUCGAUUUAACCGAAUGCCAACACUAGUAAACCAGAAUUGGAGAGAGAGCUUCCUGCUGUUGGAACUAGUGAGCAGAGAAUCAGCUAAGAGAAAGAACUCUGGAGCAUUGAUACAGCUAGUGAGGUAAAUUGAUGUUUAUUCCUGAAUUAAGUAGUGUGUUAGCUACGUUAAGACUGAUUUUAAGUAGCUAAAGUUGAAGUUAGCAGUUGAACUAAUGCUGAAAACUGGGAAGUUUAAAUGCUGAAUUUCAGCAUUGAAGAUUUUAUGCUGAAGCUGAGAGGGAUGCUUAUUCCUGAGUGGAGUGGGCUGGUAUUGCUUUAAAAGAGUGUGAUCAAAACAAGUAUUUCUUUUAUACUCGUAAUAAGCUGUGGAGGAGAAGGUGGAGUGCUGAAAAUUCAGCGUUAUGUAGGAUUCUGUAUGGUGCAGAAUUCAUUAGAGCUGAAAUAGGCCAAUUGAGUAAUUGAUCUAGAAAACUCAAAUUAGAGAUGAUUAGAACAAAGUUGAAAUUGUUUAACUCUAAUCUUUAAAUGAAAUUGGGGGUAAAUUCACUCUAAUUUCUGUUUAGAAGAGCUGCCAAGAGAACUAAUAGGGAAAUGAAGCAAGAUUUCAGCUUAAUGCUGAAAUCAAUGCGGAAUUGACACUUUAUAUAGCAUUGAAAUGCUAACUUGUAAAAUAUGAGAAUAAGGCUCUAGUUUAAUGUCUUCUGAUCCUUUAUAAUGAUAAUUAAACAUGUCCGAAAGUCUAAAUUGACUUUACGACAGGUCGGCGACGCGUUAAUUAAGAUAGAAGCCAUUUUGGCUCUAUUUGCAUCGAGUCGCGAGAACUAGUUGUCGACGCGUUCCGAGACGUGGAUUCUAAUUGUUGACACCACUACAGGUGGGUGGUGCUAUCCGAAGUCUUUGAAUCACCUUUUAUGUCUAUGAUUAUUCAUUGAGCAUAUUUAUAUUUGUAGUCAUGCAUUAUAGGGUGUUCGGCGUUGUGCAAGUGAAAAUGUAAAUUCCUAUCAACAAAGAGAACUCGUGAACCUUAGAAUGUGGACAUAGAACCCUAUGAAUGCACGGACUAUAACAAUAGUGAACUUGGUGACAUUCUAACUAGAGAAUUGGAUAGCAUUGAGAAAUAAAACAGUGAAACUAGCAAAAAGAGCUAGUUAGAGUUAAAGUGUGACAUUGGCUAUUAUUGAAUCCUCUAAAAGAGGAUCAGAUCUUACUCACAUAGUCUGUUUUUAGCUUGGUGGUGGUCGCUCCCCCCAGGCAGUGCGCUCCGGAGUGGUCACUUGAUGGGCUAAAGUAUUUGCCCUUGGACUAAAGUAUCUGUCCAGCAGACGGUCCCGUCGGGAGGCAGCUUAGGGCCCGCAAGGGAUUGAGUUGGUGAGUUACAGUUAACCAAAUGGUUAGCUAGAUUGAUUGAGUAUUGGUACAUUACAGCAUGCAUGCAUACUUACAGUUUUCAUAUAUCAUUUCUUUCAGCUUGGUACAGGCAUUGUAGUAGUUAUAUGUUAUAGUUGGUUACUAUCUGUUUACUUUUUUUGCUACAUAUGCCUGAAUAGACCUAGUGGGUGAGUCGCGAGGUCGGCGGCCGAACCCACUGGGAACUUUUCUGUAGUUCUCACACCACUAACUAUACAGGUUCCAGUGCGAGCGUUGUGGCCGAGGAUCGCGGCAAGAGCCCUGCAGCCUAGCUAGCAGACACCAGUGUUUAGUGGUAUCCCAUUUUGAGUUCAUGUGAGACAUUUUGAUGUACAGAGACAUGUAAAUGAAUGUAUUAUAAAGCAUGUAAAUAACUAAAUGUUUCAGUUAUUUAGUUAUGUAAAGUUCAGUUUAAAAGUUUUAAAUUACAGUGAAUUUUUAGUAUAGCUAGCUUACUAUCACUUGUGAUUGUUGCUUGCCCUCGUGCAAGCCAUGUAUAUUGAAAUGUUAUCUUGGGAAUUGUUUAUUUCUUUAUACAUAUACUCGUUGUUGUUGAGCCUUGGGCGGACAGAGGAGGUUCUGUCCGUUCGGCGCCUGUGUACGGGCCCGGAUCGACCAAAUUGGUGAUAGCGGGAUAUGACACAUCCAUUGCAAAACCUAGGGGGCAGCAGCAGCAAUGGCUUUCUCAGCCUUUUCUUUUUCUUCUUCUUCCUCCGGCGUCUUCUUCUCCCGUAGAUCUCUACGGUGGCUCCUCGAAUGCAGAGGCGAGAAAGAUCGAUCCUUUUUUCAGUUGUUUUUGUUGUUUUUCUUAGGUUUUCGAUCUCCUAUCGUUGUUUUAGCUCUGAGAUCAAAGGUUGGAGCGAGGGAUUUGGACCUAUCCUGGAGUGGAAACCCCAGAGAUUCCGGCUUCUUGGUGUUUGGAUCGGGAGAGAGGGGGUGGUUGGGGUUCUUGAUCUACGUUGCUUAGAUUCACGCGGCGGAGGGGCCUAGAUGCCCCCUUUGUAGCUGGGAAAUUUGAUGGAUCCUGAACCCUUGCCGUGAGAUCGCAAGGACUUAGUCUCGAAGGAAUGGAAGCAUGAUAGAGGGGUGGGCUCCGAUGCCCUAGGCGGCGGUGGCGCCUCCUCUACGCCUUGGUGGAGAGAGCCCUACCACGGGACUCGCUCCUUCUUCCGCGCUUCCCCUCGCCGGCCUCCGUCAGUUACUAUCGUGGAAACCCCUCUCAGUUCUUAUUCCGAAGAUCCCGCCUCCUGUGGUUGCACCUCGUCUCGACCGGACAAGUAUUGUAUCGAAGAUGAGGGCUUUAGACCCUCUGGAAGUUACGACGGUAGGGGUGGUAGAAACAGGAGCAACGGCGGAGGUGGAGGUGGCGGCAGCAACAGCAGAGAGGGCCCAGAUAUUUUCGGCGAUCUCCUUUCGAGAUUCCUAAUGGCAGUAGAGAGGUAAAAAAGGAAGGUGGGGAAAGAGAAGGAAAUGGAAUAGCCGUUGUGGCGAAAGCAUAGGGAAGUUAAAGCCGAGUGGAAAUACUGCAACGGAAGAGGAAGAAAGAACGGAUGCACGACAUGGAGAGGAGACGUUACUUGCCAUAUAAAGAAAACGGAAAGGAUAGAGAAGCGGUUUGGUUCAGAAAUUAAGAGAGUUUAGUUCAGAGAAGAGAAGCAUCGGGUGAGGAGGAGAUGGGUCGUUCGGUUCAAAGCCACAAUUCGGUAACUAAGAAUUCGUAUAGUUUAAUAGAUUCAAUGGGCGGUUUGGUUUAAAUGCUAAAAGAGUGGUUCGGUCCAAAUAAAAUAAUUUGGUUCAAAAUAAGGCUAUGAGGAUGAAGAAUGAUUUGCCACGUGGCUAAAAUUAUUGUGGCUUCAUAUAGGUUUAUAGAUUGUUGCAUUGAGAACAUAAACUACAUGCAAAGAGAUGUUUGUCAGCAUGUCCACGUAAUAAUAGCUAAACUUUAACUAAAAUAUUUCCCGGGUAAUAUAGUGAUGAACAUCCUAAAAUAAAUAGAGCUUAAAAAAGAAUCCAACUCCACCAAGAUGUUUAGUCCGGCAUCUCUUUUGUUCACUCAAAUAGCAGAGUCAUUGAAGAUUUACGAGUUCAAAAUAUAUCCAUAUGCACAUAGUAUAUUCAUCUAUAUCACUUCGGCAAAGAACUUUUUAAAUCACACAAAAUCCCAUCCCGUAGAGUUUAUCAUCUUAUGACGUGCUCCUAUACCCAAACAAUGAAACAAGCUCUAAAAAUUAUCUGCUUACGAUUUGGACCCAGUAAUCCUAUAUGGAUAAGCACUUUCAGCAACACUUUGCACAAAUCCUUGAAGAAUUGAGAGUAGAAAAGAAACAAGCAUCAAGAGAAAGGGAGUGUGUUUUUUUUCUAAACAAUCUUUCAUAGUAUGGGUUAGUUAAUAGCACAUACAGGUGAAACUAAUGCUGUAAAUGGUUUCUCACCAAUAAGCUACUCAAGAAACAAAUGGAAAUGGACAAAAAAACAAAAAAUUGCCCCUAUUGUACAAAGAAUAUCUUCUUGCUUUACUUCAUUGCAAUAGUAAAUGCAGAGCUGAAGAUGUCUAACCACUGUAACAAUGUCCAGAGAACCAAAUUAGUCUGAGAACUAUUGUUUGUAUAAUAUAGCAGUAAAUAAAUAUAAGAACUUCAGAGAAACCAAACAAAUCACAAAUCACAACAUAAGGAAGAACCAAGAAUUAGCUAAGUGUUUGAAAUCAGAUUCCGCAUUUUUCUGUUCCACUACAGUGUUAAAGAUAAAUUACAAAAAAAAGACCACCUACUUUUAAGACCUUGCCUCUCUAUCCGCAUGAAAAAAAUUGGCAUCAAUCGCAAUAACAUGUUACCACCAUCUCAUAUAGGCCCAAAAGUUUAGGAUGACUAGCGGAUUUGGAUGUAAAACUUCACUAGAACUAGUUCGUAUACUGUGUCAAUUUUAUGUUUGAAUAUUUAUCCAACUUACAACUUAGUGACAAAUCUACAACCAAAUAAUAGAGAUUUUUUUAAAAAAUAGAUUUAUUAUUUGGUCAUUUAUUAGACAAUUUAUUCAAUUUAUGUGGUUUUUGUACACUCAGUAUGAUCAAGACUUUCCAUUAACUCAUUUGCAUUGUGUUUUGCAUUCAACUCAUUCAUAAUUCCAAAAUUUGGGGCUUGUUUUUGACAAUAGUAAACCGGAGGGUUGGAGCAGAUGCAAUUUUGGUUUUGCAGGUAGCUAAUAAGAAAAACGCUGAAGUGCAAGUUUCGUAAUUUGGGCUAGUAGUAAGUAAAAUAUCAUUCACGGUUUAGUGACAAUAAUAGCACAAGAACCUGUGCAGUGGAAGAGUAAGAAACUUCAUACAAACUAAGCAUACUCCAAGUGAAAGCGUAUACUUUGACUUAUUAAUCCUGUUCAGUAAUUAACCUUCAAUUGAAGCAAGACAUUUCGAAAAUAACUUGUCGGACUAUAUGGCUGCAAUUUUUAUUCUUCAGUUGCAGUCCUAUGAAACAGACUAAAUUAACUGGUCCGUAAAGCACAGUUGACCACUCCACUAUCCACCUACAUAUCCAGCAGAAAUAAACAGAGCUCUAAUAAAAACACAACUAGCACAUCUAAUAAAACAAACGACUAGUGAAUGAUAAGUUCUAGGAACCAUUUAGAAAGUUUCAAUCUGUACUAAAAAUUCUCCCUUUCACGUUUCAAUCUGUACUAAAAAUUCUCCCUUUCUCAUUUCUUUACAUGGAUCCCAUAAUGACAAGAGAGCUUUAUGUCAAGGACUUAGAAAAAUUUCAGCCCAUUACAAGUCCCUAUCCCGACCUCGCUAACUGAAAUUGGCAGCCAAAGAGUGUCACACCCCAAUAAUCCCACAUCGGAUAUGAAUGGGGAUGUGAUUGGGUAUAUAAAAGACUUAAACACUAGUAAUAAUAAGGGAAAACUUCAAAUACCCCCCUGUGGUUUCACUUUUUUCACUUUAAUACCCUGUGGUUUAAAAUGUAUCAAGUUAGUACCCUAUGGUUUCUCACGUUAUCACUUUAGUAUCCUGUGGUUUAAAAUGUAUCAAGUUAGUACCCUGUGGUUUUGCACUUUAUCACUUUAGUAUCCUGUGGUUUCGUACUUUAUCACUUUAGUACCCUGUAGUUUAUAAACCACAGGGUACUAACUUGAUACAAAAAUAAAACUAUAGGGUACUAAAGUAAUAAAGUGAAAAACCACAGGAUACUAACUUCAUUUUAAACCACAGGGUACUAAAGUGAUAAAGUGAGAAACCACAAGGUACUAACUUGAUACACUUUAAACUACAAGGUACUAAAAUGAAAAAGUGUGAAACCACGGGGGGGUUUUUGAAGUUUUUCCUAAUAAUAACUAGGCUUAAGCAUUUUGGGCCGGUGUUUGGGCCCAACGAGUUAUUAUUGCCAGUGGGCUAGGUCGUUAUAUUUGGUAUCAGAGUCAGUUCACCAGCCAGAAAUGUGUGGCGAGUAAUAGGCUAUGCCAGAGUCUGAAUGACAAAAUAACCGGCUAUGCCAGGGUCUAGAUGACAAGGCUAGCGAAACGAGUCUCAUAUCGCCUGGUGAUCUUGUGCUGUGUGUGUGAUUGGACUGACGAGAACGUCAGGGCCUUAACGGAGGGAGUCUGUCACACCCCAAUAAUUCCACAUCGAAUAUGAAUGGGGAUGUGAUUGGGUAUAUAAGAGACUUAGACACUAGUAAUAAUAACUGGGCUUAAACAUUUUGGGCCGAUGUUUGGGCCCAACAAAUUAUUAUUGCUAAUGGGCUUGGUCGUUACAAGAAGGUACCAUUCUAGCACCUUGUGUGGGAGACAAAGGGUAACGCAAUUGCAGCAUUAAAGCCUCGAAAAUUGCCAGCAGAUGCCCAAAGGUCACGAGCAACUCUUGGGUUCCCUUUCAUAGUUUUUCUAGCCUGUAGUGUGUUAACGUACGAUGGUCAGUGGGCAGAAUCAAUGUACCAUAUGCCUAUACGUAAGAGGAUUGGCUGAGGCCAAGGCAUAGAGAGAUGCACUUGUAAUUCUAUUUUUCUAAGUAAUAGAGUACUUAGUUUUUUUUUUUUUUUUUUUUUUNUGUUUUUUUGCAGACCCUGUCUCUCUUUUCACUCUUUUGCACUUAGUCGCAGACCAGAGGUCCGGGAUAGCAAACAGAGAGCAAGACUUGCCCAUCUUCGCUGAAGAAGUCGGGGGCCACACGGGCUUAGUGAGCAAAAUUCCUAAGUCCGUGAAAUUAAGCUACUUAAAUAUUUCUCUUCUACAUGACAGAGUUUUAGUCACGAUGAUAUCUCAACAGCACAAAAAGCGUACAUAUGUAAUGCAGUUUCUGAGAUGAAUAGUUUUUUAUCAGAACUGAAAUUGAGAGUCGCUAUUUAGUAACUACAUCAUGAGCAUAAGGCAUACAAAAACCUGGCAGAGAGGCCAGACUGAAAUUUUCAACAGGGUCAUCCUUUCCUAAAAUAAGUGCUUCGUCAACAUGAUUUGAAGAAAUCUUCAAUAUUAUCAUUCUUUUCAUAAGAUCCAGUACUAUAAAAACCCCUAAAACAUCAUCUUGAACAGGCUAGAUUGAAAUUUCUCCUACCAACCGACUAUAAUGGGAGUUUAGAUGACCACAAGGGUGAAACUUCAAAAACUGACGCCCAUUAAAACUUUCAAUAUAGAAGUUACUAUUAUCUAGAUAGUUGUUCAUCCAUAUUCCUUAUUUCUGCAAUAAAAUUGAGGUUUGCCACCAUUGUUAUGUGACCUAAAAUAGAUUGGGUGUUUGGACCCCAGUGAAACAGGCACCUAACCAAUUUGAUUUUAUUUUCAGACUAGAAACAGAUUUGAACAACUAAAAUUCUAUUAAACUAAGACUUGACCGGUUAACUAGUUGGCCUGAAUAGCCUAGCUGCCUAGGUGAAGCAGGCUAUGCACAUGGGCUCCUGUUUUGUCAUAGUCCAAAACCUCACUUAUUGACUAUGUUGCACAGAUACGGAUACGGGGAUACGGAUACGACACGAUACGGAUACGGCGAUACGGCAAUUUCUAAAACUUCUAGGAUACGAUACGCGGAAUAUACUUGAAUAAAAUAUUAUUUUAAAUAUAUUUAAAUAUAUGUUGAUUAUAUGUAAUAAUAUAUUGAGAACAAUCAGGAUAUCUGGACUAUAUUAAGGAAUAUAUUCUAAUAUGCAUUAACUUGUAUAAUUGUUCUACAUAUGUUCAUAAAAAAAGAUAAUCAAUCAUAUAAAAUAAUAACUCAAAAAGUAUCAAACCAACUAUCAUCCAACUUGAUCAAAUGAUAAUAAUAGAUAUGUAGUCGCAUAAACUAGAUAAUUAGCCAUUCAAUAUAUAUGUAUGUUUUGUUAGUUCUAUUAUUAAAUUAGUAAUAAAAAAAUAUGCUAACAAUUUAAUAGAAAAGGAAAAAAAUAAUAUUUUCUAUAGCCUUUGUUGCUUAAUGCUAGGUUGACAAAUUAGAUGAAAGAGAGUAAAUACUGUGUGAAGAUAGAACGAGAGGGAGAGCCUUCUACCAUUCAAUAGCAAAAAGCGCCUUCUACCAUUCAAGAGGAAAAAGAUAGAUGAAAUGACAAAUUGAACAGAGAUUGACGUUUUUCUCACUCUUUUCCUUCUUUCCAAUAAGUUUGGACGUAAGCUUUUAAAAAAAUUUUAAGUUUCGAUCAUUUUAGACCAAAAAAGAAGCUAGCCGUGUCCCCCCCGUAUCCCCCCGUAUCCCUCACGUAUCCGAGCGGUAUCCGAGCCGUAUCCGAUAUUUUUUAAUUUUUUAAAAUUGCCGGAUACUUCAUUCCCGUAUCGGACACGUAUCGGGCGCGUAUCGGGCGCGUAUCGGUAUCCGAUACGUAUCCGAUACGGGUACGGCAUGAAAUUCGAAGUAUCCAUGCUUCAUAGCUUAUUGAAGUUCAAAAGAUCAAAAGAAAAGGAAAAACUUCAAUUUAGUUAGAUUUAAUACCUAAUCCUCUAGUAGAAAAGCAAGCAACCAAGAAAUUAACUAUCUGGUGCAUCAAAGCCUAUCUAGCAAGUCAUACUGUACUCACGACUUAUAAGCAUGUACCGUACCUCGAUGCUGGUAGGCAUGUCGAGUGAGACAUUUUGAUAUGCCAAGCAUAUUGUACACCGUGCCAAUAACAUGACAUACAAUUUUUUCCCUAUUUCCUUCUCCAAAUCUCUCUCGCUCUCUCUCUCUCUCUCUCUCUCUCUCUACAAGAGCAGAAGAAAUAGGAGUAAGUUAUCUCUCUCUCCUGCUCCCUCUUCUUCUUUGAAAAUUAUAAAAUAUGAAUUUUCCAUUAGUUUCCUUUGGAAAAAAAUAUAUCACAAAGAAUGAAAGAGUAAGUAGAUCCGCUUGAUACACUCAUCAAAUUAUACCCCCAUCACAGUACAAAUUAUACAGACCUCAUUAUUGUUGUAUUUACUUAUUAACUUCAUAUGUAUUGCAUUACAAAUGUAGAUUUGUGGGUAUUAAAAGUAUACAGCCAACUGCAGCCAAUGGGUCAAAAGAAACAAUGAAUAGAAACCCAUACCAAAGAAACGACCAUAAAAGACUUCUUUUGAUCAAAAAAGGCCAAAUAAACCUGUGCCAAAGUGUGCCCGUGUGUGUCAAUUGGUGGUUUGCAUGCCUAUCAGCACACAUCAGUGCCAACACUCAGCACCGCGUUGAGCCCGUGGUCGUGACAAUAAGGACUCAGCAUGCGCCCUUACCUCUGCACUUCAGUCCUUCGAACUAAACAUCAAGCCAUCAACUCAUGUCUCUCAAAUUAGAAGUAGUUCUUAAUUUAAGUUCAGGGUCCUAAAUAUUCUAAUGAUCUUUGAUAAAAAUAAAAUAAAUUAUGUAGAUUAGACAUUAUCUUACUUAUUUCCAGCUAUUAAUCUGUUAUUUAUAUGUUCCUCUAUUUGNAAGUACUCGACUGUAACUCCCAGCAUCAGAUUGAACUAACAAUGAAAGUGUUUCUAAUGAUAUAAAAUAUACUUACGAUCAAAGUGUUUCCACUAACCGUUAGAUUGAACCUGCUGGAGUCAACCAACCAGAAUAACACGCAGGAAAUUUAUUUUAAAAUUUUUGUUUCUUACGUUGCCCGGGCAUGAAUAUCAACUUAUUUUCUGAGAAACCAAACUACAUAAGAACAACAACGAGCAUAUAUAUAUACAUGAUCUUUUGAGGAAAAAGAUGUGGAUCCAAAAACUAAUCGCAAGAUCCUGUAGCUAGCCGUCUCAUAUAUCUACCUAAAAACAUGACCGAUCACCAGAAAUCUGGGAAUAACAUUUUAGUUUCCUGAAAAGGUUCUACAAUUCUAUAUCCCCGAUUCCCCGUUACGACCAGUAUUAAAUAAUGCAAAGCAGAGUUUCGUAAUAGCUUCUUAGUUUCUAGAUACUGACAUAGAUUACGACCUAGACAUGAGAUCAGAUCUGAAAAGAACAUAUGAAAUCAUUAGAAAAUGGGUGAGAAAAGCGAAAAUUGGCUAAAACAGCUCCUGCCCCGUAGAUUACUUAACACGAUCUCACAACACUAAAGAAAACGCUGGAUCAAAACCGAACGAAUCAAAUAUUAAGUAGAAAAAAAGCGUCUUCAAAUAUAAUCCUCUGAUUCCAACAAAAAAUACACAAAAUGUGAGCUAAAACAUAGAUCUAAAACCCUAAAAAGAAAAAAAAAAGAUCCAGGAUCGUGGGAAGCUCACCUCUAUCGAGUCACCACCACCUCAGAUCUCGAAGCCAAAGAGAGAGAGGUUAGGAUACAAAAACGAAACCCUCGAAUGGAGAUAUAAAGGAAGAGAGAAUAGAGAGGGAGAGAGAGACAGGGAACAAAUGGGGUAGCCUCGUUCUUUCUUUCGCUUUUGAUUUUUUUUUAAAAUUUUUUUUGAUACCUUCUUCGUAAAUUUUCCCAAAUCUGGAAUUGCCAUAAAUGCUGCUGUGCUUCUCUCCAUAGUCUACUUGCCCUCCUUUCAAAUAAUAGAACAAGUCACGUGCCCUGAAAAAUAAAUUCCUCAAAUCCCAUCUUUUAUCAAUAACCAAACACAAACGCGAAUUCUCUCAACUACAAAUGAUUUUGAAAUAGACCACUCAAACUGUUUCUUCUAUUUCUAUCAAAUAAAAUUGGAAAUUUUGCUAAACCUGACAUUGAUCUGAACACAUUUUUAGCCGACGAAACUGCAGAAUUCAUCAUAGUUAACGGCUAAUAGCUGACAAAAUCGUUAGUUUUUAAUGAAUUUUUCCACAUCAAUUUAGAAAAGUAACUCAAAUCAAAACGAUAAAAAGUUGACGACACAACCAAUAACAAAAUCAAAAUGAUGAAGAGUUUUUAUUCCAAGUAAGAAUUAUUCGUAUCAACCUAUCAUGAACGCUGGUCAAAGACCCCAAAUCCGGCACGAGAACGCGAUGGUCCUUCUUCUCCGCUCCAGCGAAGUACGAGAGCCCUCUGAGCCUCUGUAACCAAUCAAUCAAACAAAAUAAAAUUACAAUAAAUAAAUAAAUAAAUAAAUUUGGCCCCCUAAACUUCUUUUUUUAUUCGAUUUGCACUUCUCUACUUACUAACCGCUUGAUUUAGCUCCUUCCGUUAGCAAUUUUUGUAAUUUUGUUAGAACACGAAAGAUGCACGUGGCAGUUUCAAUUGUUAACAAAAGUAGCUACAUCAAAUGGCUAGUAAGCAGUGAAAAUGUUUAGGUGGUGCCUACACAUUUUAACAAAGAAAGAAAAAAAAAACUAUAUGAAAAUUACCUGAACUAUACACUAUUUUGAGUCGGCUAUUCAAUCUUUCAAAAUUUUAAUUUUACUAUCCAACCUUUCAAUUUGUUUGAUCUGAAUCAAUGAACGACACUUCAUCUUCAAAAUUUAAAUGCGUUGUUUAUCUUUACAAGUUUAAUUGGUAUCCUUCCCGUAAUUCUCGCAACUGUAAAUUUUAUUAAAAGUAAGAAACUAGCUUAAAUUCUAAAGUUCGGACAAAUUAAAAGGUUCAGCAGUAAAAUUAAAAUUUUGAACGUUUGGAUAGCAAAUUCAAAAUAGUUCAUAGUUCAAAACCUAAGUUCUGUACAUAAAAAAAAAGAAAAAGAAAAAGAAAAAUCCCCCACAAUUUUUUUUUUUCGCAUAGACAUUUCAUCAAACACCUAACAGGCGAAAACAUACACCCAACUCAAUCCAUCCACCCCUCGAUCAUUUAUCUUUACAAGUUUAGUCCCUAUAAUUCGCCAUGUAUAAAUUGAUCAUUUAAAUUUGAAAAUUCUACCAAAUUGAAAGGUCGGAUAGUAAAAUCUACAUUUUGAAAGGUCAGGCAAAAGCCGAUUCAGAAUAGUAGCAUAGUUGAGGUUAAGCUCCGAAGGAAAUAUUUCACACGGGCAUUUCACCGAACACUUAGCGGGCGAAAAUAAAAAAAAAAAUCAUAAUAAAAAAAAGAUACCCCUUUGCCGAAGCCGAAGAUGCCGUGGACGAGGACGAUCGGCGGCUGCGGCGAGUGGGCGAGGACGACAGUCUUCCCCCCCUUCCCCUCCUGCUCGGCGGUGGCGAAGUUGAAGGUGGACGGCCGGAAGCAGUCGGCGGCCGCCUGCGAGAGGUCGGAGGCGACGGCGAUGCUCAGGAUGUAGAGCCCGAACAGCAGGUGCAUCGCCGCGCUUUUGACCGCCGCCGUGCUCGUGGUGUGCUGCGGCAUGGAGUGGCGAGGCUCCGCAGCGGCUCCCGUCCCCUCUGAUCCCGCGUGGUGAUCGCCGGAGAUCUCUCCGGCGGCGAUCGCCGGAGAUCUCGGCAGGAAGAAGAACUGGAUACGAAUGGGAAGGGUUUGGGAAAAAAAAAAUGUCGCCGUAUGCUAACGGAAUUAGGUGAGGGUUUGGAACUUAAAAUAUAAUGUGGAAAUACGAAUAAAUAAGAAUGGUAUUGAUAUUUUAAGAAGCAUUAGUUGUGGUAUAGUGGUUGAGAGGGAUUAAAUUAAUGUAAAGGUUGCGGGUUCAAGCCCCAGUCUCUUAUUUUUUGUGACAGUUUUUUUUCUAUUUUGUAACUAAAAACUUUUUUGGUGACAUACGAAAUUUAAAUCCGUAACAAAUGCACUACUUUUUUGUAGUGAGAAAACCAGAAAACAGGGGCGUGAGAACUAUUAAGAAUAGUUCCCAGUGGGCAAUUACUGACUUCAGUGAGUGCACCGCAAGGCCCAAAGCUACAAUAGAUGUCAGUGACUAUAAAUGUAGGAAAAUGAAGGGCAAGUAAAAAAAUGUAACUUACUACAACAUGAUAUCUCUGCUUAGUAUAAAUAGCAUAAGUAUGAAGUCAACUAUGCAUACAAUACAAGUCUCCAACUAUCAUAAUAUCCACAAUGCGAAAUAGUAAAGUUUUGUUGUUUACUAUUCUAGUCAAUGUCCAAGUAGUACACUAAGUCAUCAUGUCAUAAUGAAUACUCAAGUCAAAUCUGAAGAGACCCACCCGAAGGCUGUCUAUGGCCCUGAGACCCACCCGUAGGCUGUCUGGCCGGUGCCGAGCCUAAUGGCCCCGUGGUAGUCAUCAUCCCCACCCUAGGAAUGAGCCUGGCCCACGGCAAUCCACUUCGGCGCCCAAUCCCGCACGGCGAAUAUGUAUCGCGAUGGCCAUCUCCGGAGUGCCGGCUUGUAGGGAGCGACCCUCACAAGCAUGUGCGAAUGAGCACAAUGGCAAGUAAUCAAACGAUCAGUCGCAAGUACCAAAUUCUCAUGUUCAGUAACAUGGUAUAUAGCAAAUGUCCUCGUGGCCAAGUCACUAUUUCAUCAUAUCUCAAAUAUGGAAUAUAGUUGAUGUCAAUGUGGCCUAUUAUCAAGUCUCUAUGUUGCAGUUUAAUAAUUCUCUAGUCCAAGUGCCUCUUUAUGACACUAUGGCUCAUUUUGUCCCAACAUGGAUACUAAGUUCAAGAACUUAUAAUUUCUAGUCAAAAUCGAAGCAUGAAACUUUAUUUCCUAUCAUCUCAUAGAAUAUUCGUCGCAUGCAUAUUAACAAAGCACAUUUGUCUCUCUACUAUAUAGAGUAACUUUCUUGAUGCAUAACAUAUGAGUUCCAAGCAUUCAAAAUUCCCAUAAAUGCUACUAAACAUGAAUAUGCAUGAAUUUGAAGAGAAUGAAAGCAUUUAACCACUUAGGAGGAAUUUCCUCCGAUUUCAAGGAAGCCAAACCCACCGUCGUCAACGAAGGCUCUCGUUUGUCACGACGAAGGCGUCCACCACACUCCUAGUACCCUAAAGGUACGAGAACAAGUGUCAUCUAGUCGAAACGAACGACGCUAAGUUCAAUCAUUAAGCAUAUAGGGCUAGGGUUGACGAAAAACUCACCGAUUGCGAAGGAAGCUCUCACAAUCUCCAAAUGGGAGCUAGAGUCCUUCCAAUCUAACCUAAACAAAGGUUCUAAACCCAUCAAUUUGGUACAAAAGCCCUCAAAACGAAAAUCCCCAAAUUUAACCCUAAAAUCCAAAAUCUAGGGUUUGAUCUAGUAAAAUCCAACAAAAACUAGAUCUAGAGGAAAGGAUCUAGUUACUAACCUCUUAGAAGCUCCAAACUAGGCCCCAAUCCAAAUGGGGUUGAAGAUUCUCCCUCCACAAAGCUCCAAUCCCGAGCUCAAGGCUUCUCUCAUGGAGGAAACCCAAUAAGAAGCAAGAAAAGCAAGGAGGAGAAGAUCAAAACCCAACAAAAUCCAUCAAAAAUGGGAGAGAACUCAAGAGAGGGAGUUCUUACCUUGUCUCCUCAGGUUUAGGGCUCAAAGGAGCUCUCAAAGGGGCUGGGGUUGUUUAUAAAGGGGUUGCAACAAUUGCAAAAACACCCCCCACGAAACUGCCCAGAUUCUGCAUUGUGUACCGGUACACGGGAAAGUGUACCGGUACACCUUCUGCGAAACUGCCCAACCCGAGCCUCGGGUUGGCAGAAAAACUAUUGUGUACCGGUACAACCAUCAAGGCGUACCGGUACAAAUUCUAUACCGGUACAACCAUCAAGGCUGUACCGGUACACAGCCUGGCUGAGGCUAAUCCGAGAGCUAACCAAAAAUUCAACUUUUUGGAUUUUGGUACACUGUUUCAAACCACAAUUCUCGGGACUCGAACCAUAGGUCGGAACACUGUCUACGACCCUUCAGACAGUCUGAGAUGGCUCGUCACGCAGAUCAAACACUCAAACCUCGCAAUUUGCAAAGGUCCAGUGCGUCACAAUUUUCAAGCCGAUCUCAAGCUAGCUCCGUUUCGCUUGUGUUCGGCACAUUGACAAUUGAGCCAAACACAGGCCGGCUCGAAUUAUUUUCGAGCUGGUCUCGAGCUGGCCCGAGCUUGCUCAUGUUCUGCUCGUUGACAACCCUCCAUAUAUCUUUAACAAAUGAGAAUGCAAAUUCAUAAAUUUACUCCAGAUGUGAACAUAAAAUGAAAAGUCAGGAAAAUCAGUUUGUGUAAGAAACAGAAAGAUUCAUAAAUCAGGUGUAGCGUCAAUGAAUUAAGCAUGAUACUGUUAAUCUGUAUAAAAUGAUUCAACCAUCCUAAGAAGCCAGAUAAGCUUGCAAUUAAGAAGGUAACUGAAAAUGGAAAGUAUAACUUUCAGUUAUACUUUUGUCUUGUAAGAGAACAUGGAAACAGGCUUGUUUCGUCGAAGCAUGAUCCAGUGAUUCAACAAAUAUUAAACAAUGACUUGUAAAGAAAAAUUGUAUAACUUAUCACAAAUUGGCAUUGAUCUCAAGAUAUACGAAGUGUAAGUGCAACCUAGUAAUUGAACUCUGAUGUCUUGGUGCUGUCGGCAAAUGAUGGACACAACCUGUAACUAGAGCUGAAACGUGGAAAAAUUCUGGCCAGGUCAUUGUGCUAAACCUUUCAUACUAAGUGCAAAGUAUCUCUAACAGUAACAUCUAGACCAUGGAAUGCCUAUCCUCUCUCUGUAUGUGCGCAAACAUAUAUGAUAAAAAAGGAUUAGUUACCUAACUAAAUACUCUUGACUAAAGGUCCAAACAGUACCAUGUAUGCAAAGCUCAUCUUUUGCGACCAUCCAAAAACAUAAAAGAAUUGUCUAACCUGUAUUACUGUCAUACACACAUCUGAUGACGCUAGAUUACACUAUUUGUCCUCAAACUCUUGUUUGUAUUUCAAGGUGGUCCCUAAUCCUCAAUUUAUUGCAUCAGGGGUUCAAGCUAUCAAAUUAUUCCAAUCCUAGUCCUGCUUUCAGUUUCCAUUGUUCAGAGAGAGGGAAAUCUAAUGCACCAUGCCACAGUGGCAACUCACUAUUUCUAAGCCCAUUCAUUCUGAGCAAGCAUGAAAACUCCUACCAUAGAACACUUAAAAAUUGCAGGUUACGUGUCUAUUAAUUAACUGCAAGCCAGCAAGCAAAUUAAUAGGCAAAGUAGGGUUUCUCUAGCAGGAAUUUCCCUACUUUAGUCAUAAUUGAUGGUUGUAGAAACAAUGACUCUGCACACCAGAUUUUUGUCUAUCUGGUAAAUGAAAGCUGAUAGAAGAACAAGGAUUGGAAAAUAGGCUUCCUAGUGCAAUGUUUAUGGACUAACGUACAAUUUACCUUCUUAGUUGCAUAAUUAGAAGUCUUGACAGUCUUUGUAUAAUGUCUUCUUCAAUCCUAGGAGCAAAAUUGUGAAGUCCUUCACAAACCUUUGAAUACCAAGAUUUCAGAAACCAUAUUUUUGUAGUCUGGAAUUUUACAACAGCGCACCAGUAGGUUCUUUUCAAAUUUGUGGCUGCAUUAGAAUCUGUGCUUGUUUAGUUCUGCUUAUCUGAAUCUAUGCUUGUUUAGUUCUGCUCAGAUAACCCAAAAAAAGGUGUUUGGCAUUUAUGCAAUACUUAAGGAAGCGCAAAAAAAUGCGUUCUUCAUCCCAACCACAAAAGCUCCAUUGUUCGAUCGCCUGUAAUAUAGGCAAAGGCCGAACGCACAAAUCAUAGUUAUUGAACACAUUAAAAUGAUGAGAAUGCCCAUAUACAAAGAGUAUACUUCAUGUCUGCCUAAUUUAAAUUUGUCCAAACUAUACAUUCUUUCUCUUCUGUCGUGAAAAAUGCAAACUCUCUCUCUCUCUCUCUCUCUCUCUCUCUCUCGCAUGCGCAUACAAGAGGAGACCCUCCACCUGCUUGGUCGUAGGGGACCAUCACCUCUGCAAGCAGGAGAACGUAGGCCCUUCUUAUCUGCGAGCACAAGAAGAUGAGAAGGCUCCUACGUAAGCAGCAGGAGAUCCUCCUCCUAUGCCAGAAGGAAAACCUCCUACAGAAGACAGAGGGGUUUCCUCUCCUAAGGUUCACAGAGGAACGGCGCCUCUCCUCCACCUUUAUAAACAAAAGAGGAGAAGCUUUACCUUCCCCUUCUUAAUGCCAAGCAGAGGGACCCUUGCCGUAAAGGCUAAGGAGGAGCGCCCAUCCUCCUUAGCAUGGAGAAGCUUGCUCUCCUGCAUGAAAAAGGAAAUUCUCCAUUCCGCGCUUGCAAGAGGACUUCCACCUCUGUAAGAAGCAAAGUGUAAGGUACAGAACUUCUUAAAUUAUGAAAACUGGAGGAUAAGUCAGAAUUCUUUUUAUAAGGCUAGAUUUAAAGUUUCAUAUCAUUCUGACACCCGAGAGGUGGAAAAUAAAAUCCGACAGUUAUCUGAUAAAGAUUAGAGUUCGGUAGAGCUUCCGGUGACCAAACGGGGUCGAAACUAAAAGAUUAAAAUUUCUUUCAGUAAGUUAAGUAAAACCGAGCAUGACUGCCAAAUUUGAGCUCAAGCGGACGUUCAGAAGGGCAGACGAAAAAUAUCUGUAUCGUGCUGCUAAACUGAAUGUGAAUAGUGUUCUUGGAUAACUUGGAGGUCAAGUUUCCUAUGAAACUUGGGAUAACUUGGAGGUCAAGUUUCCUAUGAAACUUGGAGGUCAAGUUUCCUAUAUACAUAUAUAUAUGAAGGAUUGAACCUUUUCUCUCAUUCCCUCACACUUGCAACCAAAGAGAAAGAUCUCUCUCUCUCUCUAGCAAUUUCUCCACCAAAGAGAGGAAUUGGAGGUGGAUUUGGAGAAGAAAAAGCCUGCUUAGAGGUGAAGCUUUCUUUUUCUUCACCAUUGGCUUGAAGAGAGCUUGGGUUUGAGAGGUUCGGCGAUACGACGAGGCUACGUGAAGAUAUUAAAGAACGAAGCCGUUAAGGUACAGAUUGCCGCAGCUCGCGGCGAAAGCUUCCAAAAAUCACGAAAUCGGAACCCUAACCUCGUGAUAGCGAUAAAAGGUGGGGCGUGUCAUCCCGAAACAUCCGGGUUUCUUUUUAUGUCUAAGUUAAUUAUAUUGAUCAUAUUGUGCUAUAGGAAUAGUAGUUGUACAUUUCCAUUUCCUUGCAUGCUUUCUUGGUAGUGUAGCGGGGUGAGCUUGACACGUGGACUAGGAUAGUAUGAGGAUUGGGUCUUGUGACAUAGAAUCCUAUAGUGGCAAAAGUGAUGAACUUGGACAUAGCCUAGUAGAGGGGCAUUUAAUUAGUGUGGUAGAAACACUAAACUUGAACGAGUGGCAUGUCAACUAGUAGAAAACUUACUACAAUGAUCAAACGAGUGGCAUUGAGUCUAGUAUAGUAAACUUGACAUGAACCCAGGGAUAGUAGAGGUCCCAACAUUGAUUAUAUAUCAUGAUUGUGCAGUAGAGGCACAUUGACCCUAGUAGACAGGGUAUCCUCUUGAGAGGAUUGGAUCAUACUCACUAGUCUGUUUUCGCUUGUCGGUGGUCGCUCCACCGAGGCACGAGUCUCCGGAGUACUUCACUAGGGGCAGACGUAGUUGUCCCGCAGACGGUCUCGGUGUGCGAGUACAGUUUCUCCUCACCUAUGAGAUUGAGAGUGAGUCGAGGGUUAACCUACGGGUUAACCAAGUAGAUUGGGUAAUAAACAUGAAAUGCAUAGUAGACUUGCAUUAUUACCUUGAGUAGACAUAGUGUAUGUUGUAGUUUACAUUACUAUGCACCUUUAUAUACUCAUGACAUGAUACUAGCAUGAUAGUAGUUGUUGCAUGCAUUAUUAUCAUUGAUGGCAUGAUAGAGUAGUUGCAGUUCGUUUUCUAUAUAUCUAUCUAUCUCUCUAUCUGUGCCAGCUUAGACCUAGUGGGAAAACCGGCGGCGUCGGCGGCCGAACCCACUGGGAACUAUAUUUAUAUAGUUCUCACCCCGUGUGGUUUUGGGGUACAGGUACACACAGAGGCGAGCCGAGCGAGGACCGCGGCAAGGGCAUAGCGCCCUAAGUGAGCCUAGUUAGUAGCUUUUCCUUUAUGCAUUAGAGUACCCUCGUGUACUAGAUGAUGUUUUGGAUAGUUAUGGGAGGGCUACUUAUAUCUUGAAAAAAACAUGUACUUACAUUUUGGAAGAUGAAAAUGUAAUAUAUUCAAAUGAUGUAAAUGUUCAACGGUUGUAAUAGUUAGACUAUCUCUCUUUAUACACUUGUACAUUCACUUGUGGUUCUUGCUCUUAGUUAUAGUGCACUUGUGCGCAUCGUAUCGAUCAUGUAUGUUAUUUAAGCAUUCCCUGGGCGCUUAACUGUACAUGAUCUGGUUGCUUAGCUUUGGGCGGACAGGAAAGGUGCUGUCCGUUCGGCGGUCCGUCCGGCGCGCCCGAACCGUGCCAAAUUGGUAUUGGACUCGGGGCGGGGCGUGACACAAAGGGAAAGAAAUAGGCCUCUAAACUUUAUUUCUUCUAAUAAUACACUCAUGAUUUUGUCCAUUUAGUCAAGAUAUAUUAUUGAUUAUUUAACGAAAUCUCCAAUUCAAUCGACCAAAAUAACUCACAAAUUAUAGGAUAGUUAUUCAGUUCAUGUGAUUGCACUCCAUUAAAUUUUACAAUUAUCAUCUGUCCACACGUUUUCACAAAGUUUACAUCCAAAUUUAAUGAUCAUCCAAAACUCUGUGUAAGGUACCGGACUUCUAAAAUCAUGAAGUUACGGUGUACAUUUGGUUAGUGAGCCAUUAGAAAGGUUCCGGUGAAGUUCGGUGAAGUUCGGGAGCAUUCGGGCGAUUCGGUGCGCGUAGGCGCGGAAACGGAACCCGAAAGGCUAUGUUAGGCCAUGAGUUAAAUCCGGCAUUAGUGUGGAUGAAAAGAUGAAGAAAACAUGCUCGAAAACAUGUUUGGAGAGUCUCGGUUCGAUUUGAAACGAAUCGGAGGUCAAACGGACGAAAACGGAGCAAAACGGACCCCGAAAGCUGAAAAAGCUGAAAAUUUGGCUAAGUCUGGAAUGCUAUUUUUCUGGACAUUGGGGGACCGGUUCCUCAAGUCCAGAGACCGGUCCCAGCACCCGAAAAUGGCCCAGUUUGGGCUGUGUGUGACUUAUAUUGUUGAGGGACCUUUGUGCAAUUGUGCCAAGGGUAUAGAGAGGGUUGGGGGCUUAUUUCCUCUCCUUCUCCCUCACACUUUGUAACCUAAACUCUCCCUCUCUCUCUCUACAAAGAAAAGAAAGAGAAGAAGUAGAAGAGGAAAGGGAAGGAGAAGGUGGAGGAGAAGGCUUGGAGAAGGAGUUCUACUUCUUCUUCUUCCUCUUUUGGCCAUUGGAGAGGCUUGUUUGAGGUAAGCUUUACACCCUCUAAUGGUAGCUUCUAGUUUAUGGGUUUUUAAGCUUUAGAAAUGGGAUUUAAUGGUGAUUUAGAGAUUGUUAAUCUCAUUUGUUGCAAGAUCUAUAGCUUGAUGUUGCUCUUUGCAACAAUGAGGAGUUAGAGCUCCAAAUGAGAGCUUUAAUGGUAGAUCUCUAGGGCUUUGGUCUUAUGCUCUAGAAAUGGAUUUAUUAGCCUUCCUAGAUGCUAAUUAGAUGGAUUGUGUUUAGAUCCAGAGUUCUAAUGGUGGGUUUUUGUCUAAUUGCGACCUAGGGCUCCAAAAUGAGGUUUUAGCAAAUCUUAGGUUAUGAUCUAUUUUGAGUGGUCAGAAACCUAAUUGCCAUGUCUCCGAACGCGUAGGAAGCGACGGUUCGUCGAUUCGUCGAGCGGGUGCGACGUUCCGGCUGAAACAAGUGCUAGAAGGUCCGUUUUGGCCCGAGGAGCCGAGGCGACGUGCGAAGACCGCGAAGACAAGCUUUCUAACCUUUCGGCAUUACCAAAAGGUGGGGGAGUGCCAUCCCGAAGCAGUCGGGCUACUCUUUAUGUCUAAGUGCUAAGUUGACCUAAUUGCAUAUUGUGAUAUUGCAUUAUAGGGUGCUAAAUGUAAUUGUUACCUAUUCUUGCAUACUAAUAGAAUAGUGUAGAGUUGAGUUGCUUAACACCUAAAUCUAGUAUGCAUGAGAUUAACGUCAAAUGACUUGAGACCCUAUAAUGAAGUGAUAGUUGAUAGGAAGUGAACCUGCUUAUGUGAAUGAGAAUCUAGUAUGGUAUAACUAAUGUUUGAGAACAACAAACUUGACGAGUGGCAUCUAGUUAACAUUUAACUUGACGAGUGGCAUCUAGUUAACGUUGAACUUAGGAGAGAACUAGUUCCCAAGUGAUGUUGUCUAGAGUGGUAGGGUAUCCUCAGUGACGGGGAUUUGACCAUACUCAUAUGUCUGUUCAAAGCUUGGUGUGGUCGCUCCACACAAGCAGUGCACUCCGGAGUCGUCACAUGAUAGGGAUAGCCGUUUGGGUCCCGAGGGAUAGCCGUUUGGGUCCCGCAGACAGUCUUGGGCGAGUGAGCUGAUCCUCCCCAGGUGAGUUGGGUGAGUGAGUUGAUCCUCACCUAUGAGUUGAGAUUGGGUUGUCGUACCUAUGUUGAGAGUCGGGCGAGUGAGCGGAUCCUCCCCGUUGUGUUUGGAUUGUGAGUCGGGUGAGUGAGCAGAUCCUCCCCGUUGUGUUUAGAGUGCGAGUCGGUGAGUGAGCGGAUCCUCACCUAUGUGACUGAGUAGACGAGCAUAGUAGUAUGAGAUAGGCUACCUAUUAUGUUGCAGUUUAUACAUGUACUUCUGUUGAAAGCAUAGUAUCAUGAGAUAGGUUGCACAUUAUUAUGUAGUUCAUGCAUUCAUAGCAUUGGAUUGAGGCAUAGUUGGAUAUUAGCAUCGCUUUACAUUAUGCUUACCGUUACUGCUUUCAUAUAUAUCUACCUAUCUUUCCGUCUUCGUCUUCCUAUGCCUGCUUAGACCUAGUGGGUAGAUCGGCGGAGUCGGCGGCCGAACCCACUGGGAACUAUAUUCAUAUAGUUCUCACCCCGUGUGGUUUGGGGUACAGGUACUGUCACGCCCUGGGCUUCAGCGGAAGCUUAUCAGCAACGUGCACAGAUCCGCCGUGUACAUUUCUACCUCAAGAGUACACCAGGCGUCUACAAACAAUAUAGUGAAAUCAAGUGAAUCUAACCAGGUAAUCAGAGCACGACUUAACAUUAAAGUAAACUUAUACAGCUCGAAAUCUUAUUACAACUUAAACAGUAAAGAACAUUCUGUAACAGUCCCAAGGUACAACACUGAGCUAAAUUAACAGAAACUGGUAGUGGUUCAUCUAUUUAACGUCGAGAAAGCUCUAUUUGGCCGUUGACCCCUCGCCAGGAAUCCCUAACCUUUCCCGCUGUGGAAGGCUCUAUAAAACAACAAUAAAAAGAGGGCGUGAGAACUAUUAGACAAUAGUUCCCAGUGGGCAAUUACUGACUUCAGUGAAAUGCACCACUAGGCUAACCUAAGAAUGCUGUAAAAAAUAACUGAACAAGCAAGUAUGAAAUACAAGUAUGAAGAGUAAGUAUGAAUAUCAAUUCAUCAUAUAUGCUAAGGACAAUUUAAAGUCAUAUACUAGUUUGCAUGCAAAUAUUUCAUUACAUCAGGAUUAACUGAAUAUGUUUUGUAACUACAUCUUAUAUUAUUAAGAGUGUAACAUACUGUCACUACGUUAUCAGUUAAUCAAGAUGUCAAUCUGUAAGCCUGUUUUCAUUAAGUUACCUAGCCAAUGACAUAAAGUAGCCUUACUACUAUGUUUAUCUCAGAUUAAAAUAACUCAUGAUAACCCAAUUCACAGUAGACUUACACAAGGUAAAGUCAUAGCCGCGCCGUGCCUAAUGGCCCCGUGGUAGUAUACACUCCCCACAGCAAUCCACUUCGGCGCUCAAAUCCAAACACAAGUGAGCAAUCUGUCACUAAGCUACUCCGGAGUGCUGGGCUUGGGGGGCGCGACCCCCACAAGCGUGUGCGAAAGAGCGUAAUGGCAUACAAGCUGUAAUCCAUAGUACCAGUAUCACAACAUCAUCAUGUCCUUGACAUGGAAUCUCAACUCGACUCAGGGUCGACACUGUAGUACUCAAGUUACCUGUCACUCUCAACUACUUGUUGACAUAAUUCUCAUAAUAGCUAGUAUAACUUAAUAAGUUCAAACUUUACAUCAUAAUAGUAAUUCUAUCAGGCUAUACCUGUACAUUAACUUCUAGUCCUCUCACUACUCCUUAUUCAUAAGGAAAGUGGUUCAUUGAAGUCAUCUCUAAUGACUCAUGGCACAUUCUAGAGUUCAGCAUAACUUCCCGCUAUUUGGAGUAAACCACUAAUGUACAAUAGUUUCUACUUGAUCAUACCAGUCUAUUGUCAUGUUCGACUCUAGGUAUUCCAAGGUCUUAUUCAGAUUAUAACAUUCAUGUUACCAAUAUUUGAUAAAAGCAAUGACCAACUUGUCCAUAUAAGCAUGUGACAUUAUUAGACGUGGUAUGUUAAGAGUUCCAUUAAUCGAUACAAGUAACUCAAAAAUAUAUCCUUCACUUAGUAAUCCUGCAGAAUUAAAUGUCAUGCUCAUAAUUUUACAGUUAACAUAUCUGGAAGGAUGUGUACUUUACUUAUUUGCACUAUUACAUUCAUAACCUGAAUACAUGCUAAGUAAGCACAGUUUAUAUGAAUCCGGCAAUUUCAUAAUUCGUCCUUUACCAUAUACAGGUUUCAUGGUAUGCAAUCUAAUGUACAUUCUGCUGCAUAAUUUCAUCUCAAGAUCCUCAUCCCUUUGAUGUCUGGUAAAGUUAAAAGUCACCUCAAGCUUUCCACCAUUCCUUCCUCUUGAAGGGUGUCAGCUCUACGAGCUUAUACGAGCUAAUACAAGCUAUUCAUUUUAUGAACAUGCACAAAUGGAGCAAUUAUUCUAUAUGAAGUAAACAACUUCAAAGUUCUUCCACUAUUACUCAACGAUACUCAGCAUGAUAGGCGCAUUAAUAUAUGUCUUGAUUCCAAUAAGUAUACAUGCAUUCAUAUACAUAUGCAAUAACCUUGACUCAUAAGUCAAAGGAAACAUAGAGAAACUUACUCAUUUCAAGGAGGUCAAACCCACCUGUUUGCUGUCAACUUUUGUUGCUCCCAUAAUAGAAGUAAUCUAUUAUAGUGCUAGAGCUUGAAUCUCAAUUUUGAUUCAGGUUGGGACACCAAAUUCCAUCGUAGAAAGCUCUCUAAUUUCAGCUGAACAAGAUUAGAUAGCCUGCUGCAAGUUAGUAUCAAAACGGCACCAAUAUACAUCUCAAAUUGUAUAGUAGAAACCAGAAUUUCACCUAGGUUUAGCUUAAUGCUAAUCCUUUACUUUAACAUCAGUUGAAGCAUCCCGAUUCCAGCUCUCAAUGGUCACUAAUUCAUCUCAAAGAGGCUUAAUCUCCUGCUGAAUUGGUAUAAAAACUGUUCCAAAGUUACAGCUAAUCCAAUCAAUUAAAGAACUAGUGGGUAAUAUACCUUCCAAUGGCUUUAGUUCAGUUCUAAAAUAGGUAAACAUAGGUCAAGCCAGCUUCAGAAAUCAUCCCAAGUUCAGAUAAGAUGUUCACAUUUUCUGCUGGAACUAACCACCAAUUCAGCACCAAUUACUAAUACUACUAUUACUAUUUCAGCAUUAGAAUAGAGGAAGUAGCCAUUUAAUCACCUUCCCAUCAUCACCUCAGCUUUUCUUUAGCUCAGGAUCCAUGAUUCACCCUCAGAGUUUAUUGCCAAUACCGUCAAAACCAGGCGCAAGGUUCAUCAAGCUUCCUGCGGUGACCUCGCUGCAAAACAGUUCCCAAAACUGCAUCAACAUACACCCUACCAUAUUCCAACAGGGAAGAAAGUAACUAGUUGAUCUUCUCAAACUCAUAACUCAGCUCCAACUGAGUUAGGGUACUAUAAAAUACCCUAAAUAUCUACCAAAUCAUUCUCUCAACCAGCUGUAAACAAGAGAUUAAGAACUCACCUCAUCUUUAUUCCAUAGCAUCAAUUAAGGGAAAGUUGAGUACUUUACCUUACUCAGCUAUGAUCCCUAUUUCUAUUGAGUUAAGGCUGUGAAUACCCUCUCCCAAGAUCAUUUCCCUUCCUCUCCAAAGCUGCUCCAAGUUCUCCAAAUCAGUAAACACCAAAGAGAGGGAAAGAAAUCAGCUCCAAAACCUUGCUUCCUUGUAGAGAGAGAAAAACUCUAGAGAGAGAGAAAGAGAGGCAGCUCCCCCUGCUUCUCAAAGCUUCCAGCUGAUAAGAACAAGCUAGGGGUCGAGCUGAGCUGAUAAGGAUCAGUUAGGGAAGUGAAAAGACCGAAAAAACCCUGCUGCCACGUAACUGCUGUGUUGGUGCUUGCUGUACCGGUACAGCAUCAACCCUGUACCGGUACACAUUGCAAAAUCUGCUCAAUAGGCAGUAGCAAUGCACUUCGUCAUUCCCUGCCAUUAACUCACUCUCAUACUUGUCCACUACCCUCUCUAAACCCAUUAGAACAUGUAGGAUAGUUCCAUUUGUUAUCCCCACUCGUCAGACUUCAUAAUCAGUCAAAUUUAAAUAUCCCCUUUGAACUUCGCACUUCCAUGUCACAAGAGCAACGCACUUUUACCCUUCCGGCUGUUUAAUCACUCUUAUAACUAGUCAAGGACCCCCUUGCCAAUCUUUAAAAAAUGUGAGUUAGCUCCAGAUACCAACCCCACAUUCGAAUUUCACAAUUAACCAAAUUCGGGGUAUACAAAUUUGAUAGUGCAUUUGUGAUGCGCUUUUCCACUUCUGGCCUCUUGCUUGCUUUAGUAACUUACUGGAAACCUCUCAUAAUCCUUCAGAGAUCGUAGAAUAGUUCCAACUACUAUUCUACCACUUGAGCUACGCAAUUCGCCCCAAAGUUCAGUGUAUUACAGGUACACACGAGAGAUCUCCGGCCGAGGACCGCGGUAAGGGCUUAGCGCCCUAGUAUUUGUAGUAGUUACUUUCCUACUUGCAUUAGAGCUACCUAUACCUUUUGAGAGUAGAUGAUGUAUAGGUGUGAGGCUAUUUUGGAAAUUGUAAGCUUUAAGUUCAUGAUGUAUUAUGGAAGCUUUAAUUGUAGUUAAAUGUAUUAAAGUUGAAUGGAUGUAAUAGCUAGUUAUUUCUCUCUUUUAUUCACUUGUUCACUACUUGUGAUGCUUGCUCCUUAUAUGUUUAGCACUGGUUGUGCUCUCGCUAUUGUUGGAUUGUGUAUGUUAUCAAGUUGUUUUCCUGGGCACUUGUUGUACACAAUCUCGUCGCUUUAGCCUUGGGCGGACAGGGGAGGUGCUGUCCGUUCGGCGGUCCGCCCGGCGCGCCCGAACUGGGCCAAAUGGGUUUCGGCUUCGGGGUAGAGCGGGGGCGUGACACUCUGGGCCUAUUGAGACAGUGGCAAAUUGCAAUUAAAAAUCGAUGCAACUUUUUAAGCCAAAAUGCAAUAGGAUUGCAGGCUAAAGUGCAAAGAGAUUUUUGUAAUUUAGCCCAAAAUUAAAUUAAAUUAACAGGGCGUCAAUCAAAAGAAAAUAAAGUUCAAGGGCCAAUUUCAAGAUUGUUUAUAAUUGAGGUGGUCUUCAUACACUUUUACCCUUAAUUUUUAUUUUAUAUUAAUUUUUUUUUCUACAUUGUAUAGAAGAUGGUAGCUUUUCACUGGGAAGUUUUGCCAAAAAACUUUCUACAGUAGACAACGCUUGUAUGGCAGAAUUAGCCAAACAAUAUAGACCUUUUCUUUCCCAGCACCACGCUUCUGCAACCAAAGUACACCCUACAGCCAAGUCAAGCAAACCCUAUCUCUUGCAUCUUUAGAGAGCUCAAAUCCAAGGUGGUUUUGUAAAUUUGAAUGGACUACCAUAAGAAAUCAGUACUAGAGGCACUACAUAACAUUUAGUAGCUUUUUAUUGGGCUCUAUUUUCCCAAUGAUAGUAGAUUGGCUCAUUAUAAAACAUCAUAAUUCAUCAAAUAGCUAAUUGUAGACAAACAGCCAGGAUACUCUUUUAUAGAACCCAGCUACUAUCCUUUUAGGGGGACGGAGGCCUUCGUCCUCCUAAGUAGUUUUAGAUGAUAGGGAUCCCGAAUCGAUGAUCAGAACCGUUAAAGUUGAUCUAGAGUAUUUAAAGUGUCUAAAACCAAAUUUCAUGAAUUUUAAAAUUAUUUACGUAUUGAUCAAAGGAUCACAAAAUCGACAGUUUUUUAUGGCCUAUAUGAGCCGUUUGCUUGUUUAACAGCGUAAAACAAUCCAAACAGCUUGAAUUUUUGGUAGAAAAUUUUUUAUAUUAUUUAGAAAACGUUUGGUAACUCUGAUCAUGAAUUGAAAAAGUCUAACAUUUAUGUUCACAAGGUUAUUUGUUUUCUACUGUUUAUUUUUCGACUCUUCAAUGAAUUUGAUAACGAAUUUUAAAAUUUAUGGAAUUUAGUUUCUAAAUGUUAUAAAUACUCUGUUCCGAUCAUCGCGACUUAGGAGGACGAAACCCUCCGUCAUCCUAAAAGGAUAGUAGCUGGACUCCUCCUUUAUAAUACUAUAGAAGGACCAUAUUCAUUAGUCUAUUCAAUAAGACGAAAAAAGUAAUGACAACAUCAUUUUGAAUUUAGAAAAUGUUAGGUUAGAAAUUUUUUUAAAUGUAGAUUAAUAAAAGAAGCAAAAUAUGCAUCACUAAUGUCCACAAUAUAUGUUUAGACUUUAAACUAUCUGAAAUGACACAAAAGUGGAGAUAACAAGACAUACCAUAUCCCAAAAUUAUGGAGCAAAUUAGAAAACCUAGUAAAGAGAAAUCCAUCUUAUAGAAUAUCUCCAUUAAAAUGAUGCAUCCUCCUGAAACCAGUAAGUGCCUUGGAGAAGAGAAAACAAGGUGCAAUCUGCAAGCAAAUCCCAUGGAAGUUAAAGCCCCAAAACAUCUAAAUUUUAAAAGAUGCAGAAGAAAAUAAUUAGUAGAAAAUCAAAAAACAAGGCAAAGAUCGACCUAAAUUUCUUGAUUUUACAGGUUUCCUAGAGAUGCCCUUUACGAUUUUGGUUCCAGUUGGAGAGAUUACUGGACAAUGAUGCCCUUUAGGGCAUAUUUGGUUUAGGUUAUCCUGUCAUGAUUACAGUCAAUUUUGCCAGGAUCACUGCAUUUUUGUUCAUUUAGUAUGUAAUCUGAUCGAUAAUGUAACAUUACAAAUGGUGCAGAUUACUCCGAAAAUAUUAUCGAGCGAGGGGUGGUAUCUAUCUUACUGAUGGAAAGUUAUCUUACAUGUUAUAUAAAAUUACAAGUUUACCCCUCCAACCCUUCCACACCCCUUCAAUGUGUCAUUUCUAAAAUUUUUGUUUAAAAUUUUCAAUUAUCAAAUUUUAAAUUUUAAAUUUAAAUUUUAAAUUGUCAAAUUUUAGAUUUAAAUUUUUAAAUUUUUAAUUUCAAAUUCUAAAUUUCAAUUUUAUAUUUUAAAUUGUAAAAUUACAAAUUUCAAAUUUAUAUUUCAAAUUCUAAAUUUUAAAUUUCAACUUAAAACUUAAAUUUAAAAUUUUAAAAUCUAUAAUUUAUAAUUUAAAUUUGAAAUUUAAAAUUUUAGAAUUUUAAAUUUUAAACAUCAAAUUUAUAUUUUUAAAUAUAAAUUUUAAAUUUAGAUUUUAAAUUUUAAACAUCAAAUUUAUAUUUUUAAUUCUAAAUUUUAAAUUUAGAUUUUAAAUUUUAAAUUUAAAUUUAAAUUUAAAUUUAAAUUUAAAUUUUUAAAUUUAUAAGUUCAUAUUUAUAUUUUAAAUUAAAAUAUUAAAUUUUAUAUUUUUGUUUAGAUUUAAAAUUUUGAAUUUUAAAUUUAAAAUUCAAAUUCAAAUUCAAAUUUUAAAUUAUUUGAAAAAAAAUUUGUAAAAAAUUAUUACUUGUAAAGAGUAAAAAUUUUUUGCCAAAUAUGACUAGGGCGCAUUUUGUUCAAGUUAUGUAAUAUUACAAAGUAUUUCGAUAUAUCCAGGUAUCCUGGAUUUCUAAAUAAGAAUACUACUAAUGCUGCAUUAGCGCGUUUGGUUUAAUGCAGUAAUAUAAUACUGGAUUGCAGUGUUUAUAGCAUUACUAUAUUUGGUCCAGUCUAUAAAAUUUAGUAAUCUUGACAAUAAAGUAUAAUCUAUUCCAAAAUUGACCUUAUAGCUAUUUUUGGCAAACUUUUUUUUACUCUUUACAAAUAAUUUUUUUUAUUAAAUUUUAUUUUAAAUAAUUUAAAUUUUUUCAAAUUUUAAAUUUGAUCAAAAAUAUAAAAUUUAAUAUUUUAAUUUAAAAUUAUAAAUAUGAAAUUUAUAAAUUUAAAUUUUAAAAUUUUAAGAUAAAUUUAAAUUUAAAAUUUAAAAUUUAAAAUCUAAAUUUAAAAUUUAGAAUUUUAAAUAAAAUUUUGAAUUUUAAAUUUUAAAUUUUAAAUUUUAAAAUUUGAAAUUUGAAGUUUAAAAAUUUAAAAUUAAAAUUUAAAAUUUAAAAUUUGAAAAUUAAAAAUUCAAAUUCAAAUUUUAAAUUUUAAAUUUGACAAUUCAAAAUUUUAAAUUAACAUUUUUAAAAUGACAUAUUGAAAAUUUUUUGGGAGUUGGAGGGGUGAACUUGUAAUUUUAUAUAACAUGCAAAAUUAGCCGCUUUCAGUAAUCCAAGAUACACACCCCCCCUGUAAUAUUUUCGGUGUAAUCUUACACCUUCUGUAAUGUUACAAUACCGAACAGAUUAGAUACCGAAUUAACCAAAUGUAGUAAUACUGGCAAGAUUGCCUGUAAUCCUACCAGAAUAACCCAAACCAAACAAAUCCUAAGGGCAAUUUUGGAAUACACUACAUUUUAUUGUUAGGGUUACUGAAUUUUAUAAAAUGAACCAAAUAUAGUAAUUCUAUAUAUACUGUAAUCCAACAUUAUAUUACUACAUUAAACCAAGCACAGUAAUACAGCAUCAGCAGUAAUCUGAUUUAGAAAUCUCAGAUAUAUGGUUAUGACGAAAUAACCUGUAAUGCUACAUAACGCGAACCAAAUGUGUCCUUAAAUGAUUUUGGUUCCUAUUAGAAAGGUUACUUUCUCAGUGUGGCCAUUAGGUUUGUGCCAAAUCCCACAUAUUUCCUCAUUUCUUCUGUAUUUAUUUCUCAACUAAUUAGAAAACUUAUUUUAUUCGAAAAAAGUCUUAAUGUACUGUAAUAAUUAGCCAUUCAUCAUAAUAAUGGACUAUAUUCUGUUAACUAUACUUUUUGACUUUUCUUAGUUGCAUAUUGGAGUUUCUCAUACAUUUCAAGGCGUCCUACUAUUUAC